This is a non-coding RNA of Bactrocera oleae (olive fruit fly), 9526 nucleotides long. The record is from RefSeq and is a predicted model, not a curated record. NCBI's taxonomy places the organism in Eukaryota, Metazoa, Arthropoda, Insecta, Diptera, Tephritidae.
AGUUUACAACGGAAAGUUUUAAAAGACAGUCGUGAAUCGCGGGUGAUUAUUGAUAAUAAACGGUUAAUGGAAAAUACUUUCCUUGCCAUCAUAUUUAUGAAAUUAAAUUCUCCUGAAAGGCAUUGAAAUCUAAAAUUGGUGCGAAAAUAUAAAUAUACGAAUAUAUAUUACGUUUAAACUACAACAUAGGUAUAUAUGCAUAUGAGCUUUUUUUUAUGGUAAUAUCUGCAUCGCGACUUAUACUAUGUUUCAUUUUACUUAAAUCUUUUAAAUAUUAAAUAGCCAUGUGCAAUUGAAAGAAAAUUUUUAAAGGUAUACAAAUAUUACUGGUCAAUAUUUUUCUUUGUGCAAAUAUAUUAAAAAAAAUAGUGCAACAUCUUUGUUUUGCAUAAAUAAGUAUAAAAAUUAGAAGAAAUGGUAAAAAGUUAUUGAAACCGUAUGGAAUUUAUUUACGCCGCAAUUUAUAUUCACGUCUGGAAAUAUGCGAAAACGCUCAAACAUUUUUUUGAAUCGCAUUAAUAAAUACUAGAUUCUCGGUAUUGCGUUGAUGGCUGCAACCAAAAUUAUAGAUGCUCCACGAAAUGGACACGAAAUGGCGCCAUUAAAUACUCGAGCGCGGGGCGAUGGUACUCAUGGAGUUACAAUUGUUCUUACUGCUUCUCAGCGCAAUUCGGUAAGCUCGGUGGAGGUACCGGGUGGCGAGCCCGAUCGUGCAGCAUGGUCUGGAAAAAUGCAGUUCUUCCUCAGUAUUAUCGGAUAUUCUGUUGGGCUGGGAAACAUUUGGCGAUUUCCGUAUUUGUGCCAACAGAAUGGUGGAGGAGCUUUCCUAAUACCGUUCAUGGUCAUGUUGAUAUUGGAAGGUGUACCGUUGUUUCUAAUAGAACUGGGUAUUGGACAACGUAUGAGGCUUGGCGCACUUGGUGUUUGGAACACUAUACACCCUUGGCUAGGCGGCAUUGGAAUAUCGUCCUGUAUCGUAACCCUGUUUGUAGCCUUAUAUUAUAAUGUUAUAAUAACCUGGGUAUUCUUCUAUUUAUUCAACAGUUUUCGAUAUCCUUUACCCUGGGCUUCCUGUCCUACAAAUGGGACAGUUGAAAUAGAUGAAUGUGCUCGUUCGUCAGAAACAGCGUACUUUUGGUAUAGAACAACAUUAGAUGCCGCACCCUCAAUGGAUGAACCAGGCGGCUUAAAAUGGUGGAUUGUCCUCUGUUUGUUUCUGUCUUGGACAAUCGUAUUUUUUAUUGUCAUGAAAGGCAUUCAAAGUUCUGGCAAGGUUGUGUACUUUACAUCGCUUUUUCCGUAUAUUGUGUUGACAAUUUUCUUUAUACGAGGAAUUACGUUGAGAGGUGCCAGUGCUGGUCUUAUACACAUGUAUACACCGAAAGUGGAGAAACUGGCCGAUCCGACAGUAUGGUUGGAUGCAGCGACACAAGUUUUCUACUCCUUUGGUCUGGCUUUUGGAUCGCUCAUAGCAUUUGGAAGUUACAAUCCGCCCAAAAAUAAUUGUGUACGUGAUGUCCUUUUAGUGUCGGUGUGCAAUGCCAUCACCGCCAUAUACGCAAGCGUCGUAAUAUUUGCCAUUCUCGGAUUUAAGGCAACGGUAAACGUGGAUCGCUGUAUUGAACUCAAUAAGGAGAUCUUAAUCAAACGUGAUUUACUUCAUUACAAGAAUGCAACAUUUGAAGAAUACGAAUCUGUGAUGGCAAAAGUUAACGGCAGCGAGUCCAUCAGCUUGGAACUUGAAGAGUGCAGCUUAUCUAAACAACUUGACAAUGCUGCAGAAGGCACUGGACUUGCGUUUAUUGUUAUUACUCAGGCUAUUGUGGAGUUACCUGGUGCCCCGUUCUGGGCAGUUCUUUUCUUUACAAUGUUACUUUCUCUAGGCCUGGGGUCUCAAAUUGGCAUACUAGAGGGGAUGCUUUGUACACUUUUUGACAUUGAUAUCAUUAAACGGGUUAAGAAACAACAUGUGACAGGGGUGGUAUGUCUAUUCUGCUUCAUUGUCGGUUUCAUAUUCUGUACAGGUGCCGGUGAAUAUUGGCUCAAAAUGUUUGACUCAUUUGCGGGCACCAUUGGGCUGGUUGUUGUCGCAUUGAUGGAAACGAUUGCAGUGGUAUACGUCUAUGGACACGAGAGAUUUACGGAAGAUAUUUAUCAGAUGACCGGUUACCGACCUGGCCUAUACUGGCAAUUAACCUGGCGUUAUAUUGGACCAGUCAUUAUGGUAGCCAUUCUAGUCUCCUCUGUCGUGUUCAUGGUCAUCAAAAAUCCAACAUAUGGAGCCUGGAAUGCUCAACUCGGAGCUGUUCAACAAUCCAAUUAUCCAACAUGGGUAAUGGGAGUCGCAUUAGCAAUGAUUCUUGCUGGUGUUUUGCCAAUGCCCAUCGUAUUUUUGAUGCGAAGCUUCCAGUGUCUAAAAGUGGACCUAGAUAUCCACCAGGGCUCAAUAAGGAGAAAUGAGACUACGGCAUCGACAAAAGAAAUGAUCGAUAAUGACGAUGAUGAUGUUAUGAGCCCUGAUAUGCCUCCUCAGAACUUACUGGCAGCGACACGGUUCACUAUCGGAGACUUUGAUAAUUAAACUGUACAUGAAUAAAUGCAACUUCAUUAAGAGUAACUUACAUUACUGAUAAUUUAAAUAUAAAGUAAUAAUAUUAAACGGAAUUAAUUUAAAUAAAAAGGCAACAGUUACCUCCAGAUAAUUUGUAUUAAAUGAGCGUUUUACUGAACCAAGUUUAUUAAUGAAAUGUUAUAAUAGAAAUAAAAAAUUAAAUAAACUUUGAAAAUGGAAGACGCCCAAGUUCUAAGUUUAAUAUAAAAUGUACAUAAAAUACAAUUGUAAUCAUCGUGCACCAACGCGCCACCACAAAACUAAUACUCGUACCACUAACGAUUGUUCAUUAAAUUUAUCGAAAAAGCAAAAACAAAAAAGCAAUCAACGUAAAACAAAAUAAGAGAAAUGCUGUCACCUGCUGUCACUGUUGAGGCCUUUUAACUACGAAACGUAAUCUUUUAUGAUAAUCGAAAAUCGCUCAACUCGAAGAACUAAAUGUAAAUCUUAAAAAUACAAAUAUAAAUUACAUUUUUUUAGCAUUUAGAAAAAAUUCGUCACUUAAAUGCUUUUAUACAUAUGUUAUGCGCACUGACCUGUUUAUUUUAGAGUACUUAUCAUAACAAACAACUUGUGUAUGCUUCAUGUGUGGAUUUGUACAUAGCUAGUUAGGUAAAACGAAUAGCGGAAACGGAUAUGGAAUGUAUGUAUGUGCCCAUGAUUGCACUUAAUAUUUAAAAUAUAAUAAGAUUCAUGCCUGUGCACAGCGACGACGUAUAUUGUGCAGACGUUCUUUAAAGUGACGUUGUUGGUUCAUGUAUGUACGUCCAAUACAUAUGCAUAAUCUAUGGUAUUAAAAUAUGUUAAUCAUAUAGCAAGUCUUACAUGUAAAAUAAAAAACAAAGAAGGCGAUAUGCUUAAAGUUCAAAUAUUUACAAUUAUGCAAUCGAUUUACGGCUUAGCUUAUAAUGAAUAUUAAAAAAAAUAAAUAGCUUGGGUGAAAGAAAGACAGAAUAAAUUUUUUUAACCGUUUCGAAUGUUUUGUCAAUUGCUGGAACUUGGAAUAUUCUAAAUCUAACACUGGUGGUUGCAUCUUUACAAAUUGUUUCAGAAGCUCUCGUUACUAAAAAUCGCUGUUUGAAUAAGAUAUUUGAAGGCACUACAUAUUAAAGGAUGACGAAGAUGACUAUAGUGGUCCCGCUUUGGGGGGUCCCGUUAGAACCCGAAGUGACUUUUCGGAUGAUGAUGAUGACGACCGGCCUGUAACAAUGCGAAGCCCCAAUCUUCGUUCCAAACUGGCUGCACCAAUUCAUCUAAAUGUGCCAAUAAGUAAACCCUCAUUUAAAAUGGAAGUUUUCGAUUUGUAAAAUACUUAAGUUUGGAAGUAAUUAGUAAUUAAGAUGUUAUGCUUGAUUGUUUACUUUGAAAUUUAAUCUAUAAUAAUUUUUACUUAUCAUUAAUUCUGAUUCUUAAAUCAUUUAAAACAUUUCUAAUAGUUUUUUUCAUUUCAUAGUUAAUACCAUUUAAAAUUGAAAAAAAUAGAUAUGUAUUUAGAAUAUUGAAGCUCUGAGGAAAACAAAUGUUUAUAUGUAUAUACACACUAUGUAUGUAUAAGAAUGACAAUGAGCAUACGCAUGUGCACAUAUGUAUAUAUGUAAGUGUGUUGGGAUAACUAGUCUGUGUCAAAAAACACUUAAUUAAAAUGUGUGUACAUACAUAGAGGGAUUUAUUUAGAUGAAAACGAAUUAAUACCUGUCUUCGGUUCGCCAAGAGUUGCACUGGCGGUGCAAUCUUGCGCUAACAUGCCUUCUGACGCAUACGCAAUUAUGUUCUUUCUUUGGCGGAGGAAAACAUCAAUAUUAAUUUGGACAACAGAGCAGCACGAAAAUAUAGUGAGCAGGAAAAUAGCAAAUCGAAGCCAGUUAUUAUUUUUUACAUCGUAAAUAUAUUUAUGUUACUAAUGGUUUACCCAUACUUACUUACAUAUAUUAUACAUUGUUGAAUAUGUACGAAAGUGCACGAAUUCUUGUUUGCCGAACUAAUGAGGUGAUGUUACCUGUCUUCGAUUCGCCACACCUUGUAAGGCAGUAACUAUACUAGUUGCAGUAAAACCUUUCGCUAACAUGUCCUUUGAUGACCGAAAUGCGUUGCGCUUAAAUUUUUUAAUACAAUAAAGAAAAUAGUUGAACUCAAUCGUUUCGAAUUCAACUCGCUAACUUUGUUGUGGCCUUUCCACGUAAAUUUUUGUCAAGAGAGCAGUGAGCAAAGAUAUUGAGCAAUGAAAUUGUGAAUCGAAACAGAUAUUACCUGUGCCUCUGACUAAUCAGUUUUAAUUUUUUUUUUUCGUAAAGAAUAGUUGUUAAGUACUAUUAUUUCCCACAAAAACAAGAAUAUAAUGUUAUAGGAAAAAAUUGGUGACAUCCCUUAAUUGAUGUGAGGUUUGGUUAAAUGCAGUCCUAAUUACAUCGUUUUUGUGACAGGGUCUCUGAUUUUUUCCAUAAAUUAUAUAGUUACGAUUAUAUUAAAUUCACAAAACUUUAAAUUACAGUAACGAAAUAUUUUAAUUAAAUAAAGUAGUUAGUAGCCAAAUGAAAAGGCAGGAGAAAGUUUAGGGAAACUUUUGGAAGUUAUUAGAUAAAUAUGGUAUUGUAUUUCUUAUAAAAUAUCUGCAAAUAAUUUAAAAAUAACGAAGUCCAAAUUAUAAAAGAGGAAGCUACUCAGAGUUUUUUUAAAUCAUUCAGACAUUUUUUUCAUAACAAAAGAGAAACAUACACAAAUGAGCCUUUAUACAACUUAAUAUGAAGUCAGAAAUAGAUUUAGCAUGAUGCUAUUGAAUAAAGUGAUUAAUUCUCCCCUCACCAUCAACUUACGAUGGAUCGGUAAUGAUAUGGGAUGGGUUUUCCUACUAUAUAAAACGCAAUAAAUAUAAUAUUAAGACAAAUAUGGCCGCAGAAUAAUAUGUGGAGUAAAUUGAAUUUAAAUCCUAAAUAAGAAAAUUAAAAACACAUUCAUAUACUUAGCAUUAUAUAUUUUAUAGACACGACAAGAAAUAAAGGAUAGCUAGCAAAGAUUCGCCCACUAUAAUUGAUGGUUACAAAUUUGGUUUUUACUCACGUUUUACGAACGGCGGACGGAAUUUAUGAGAAGCUAUUCUCGCAGGACGAGUUUGGGAAAACUUUGAGAUUAAUCGUAAAAAUCCAGGUCUCGCAGAUAGUGAUAUAGUAUUAACUAAUAAUAAUUGCCAUUUGCUUUGUGUGUAUUUUUUUGUUUUUUAAUUCUCAAAAAUGUGGCAUUCUCAUUUACAUUUCACAUUUUCACAUUUUAAACAUAUUAAAGAUAUUGGAAAAAGGGAUUUUAACUCGCCGAAAAAAACUUUAUAACAUUAAUUGUAUGCUAAGUUAGAAAGCAAGUAGGUGCUAUUUUCGACUUCUGCUUGUCAUAAAACGCAGUGGCGUUUAUCCAAUUUUACUAGAGUCAAAAAUAGUAUUUUUAAGCAAAAGAUGGAAGGGGUAAACUCCUAUCAGACGAACGUGGCGAAAUAGACAUAAACAUUUACAAACAUAUACAACGCAUUUGAUAGAUAUUUGAGACACACACAUAUUUUCUCAUCAUACAUAAAUACAUAAAAUAAUUAGAUUUCGAAACCGAGUCUUAAAAUAAUUGUCCUUAUUAUUUUGGUAUGUUUCGGUCAGAUUUGUUCGAAAGGAUAAGAAAAGUUGAGAAACUUUAUUAUAAGGGUAUGGGGCCUCACCACUUAUUUCACAAAAUUCUUAAUUUAGAUUUGUUUAACAUCUUAAACAGGUCCAGGUACCUUGAAAUUGUACUGAUACUAUGGAAGAAUACUUUAAAGUUAAGAAUGUUGUUCUAUGAUGAUACAAAAUUAUUAUUUGCAUAACAUUGCUGAUGAAGCAAAAAAAUACGAAAAGUGAAUUUUUUCAGCAAACAUCAUCAUAUGAAAAUUAGAAAUAAAAGCGUAGUUUAUUAUUAUGUCAGUUAAUUAAGACAUAAUUGUGUGAUAUAUUAAUUGAUAUUCGCUAAAAAAUAGGAUGUAAGAUAGAAAUAUUUCAAACGAAUAAAAUAAUUAAUGCAACGUUUAAGCGAUACAAAUACAAAACUAGCGAAUAUGCUUGUAUUAGGCUUCUGAAGAAUUAAACCUCCCAUACAAUGUAUAAUAUAAAUUUAUGUAAAUAUUUGUAUGUGGCAACACAAACGAUUUGGUUUAACUUUCGCUUACCCGAGGUUUGUUUUGCUAAAAAAUUGAGUAAAAUAUCUGAAAAUUCCAGUUGUUAAAUUAAUUGUUUUAUUGAACUAUUUUUAAUAAGGGUAUUAAUAUAUAAAGGGAUUACAUGGGUUUCACGUCUUCGAACAAAUAUUUUUUAUUGUCUUAUCUAAUUCUAUAACAUCUGUAUAAUAUUGUAAUAAAUUCUCAGCUUGAUCCGAGUAAAGCUUUGGAGAUACGCGCUCGAGAUCAGCUAAGUAUAUAAUCACAUAAAACAUUAAACGCGUUUUUCUCGAAACUGUGUUUUCAAAGUCGGUUGACAAGAUUUCUCACGAACAAAAGAAAUUUCAGACGGUUUUUGAGAUAUACUUAACAAAGUCUUUUUUUUUAUAAAAAAAAAACGGCGAGAAAUAUUCACCAAUAUAUGCAUUUUUUUGUAAAAACGUCUGCCAAAAAUACAAUUUUCACUUUUUUGUUUUUCCUUCGUCCAAUACCUAGCUUAUGGUCUUAAUUAAAACGAAGAAGUUCUGCUGUCAACACGGAAAACCGUUUUUCCGAGCGACUGCCGGAAAUUACGUCGUAAUGACCGAGUUUUGAAUAUUUUCUUUCGAAAAUUUUUCAAAAUCUUUGUAAAAUAUAUAUCUUUGGAAUCAUAAGAAGUUUGUGUAAAAUAUUUAAGUUUUUAUUUUUGGAUUAAUAAGAAGUUUGAAUAAAAUACUUAAUUUUUUGUAUGAAAAAUAUAAAAUUAUUAAAAAUACACUGGUUUUCUGCUCAACCAAUCCUUUGUAUAUAACCCCUUAAAGGGAGGACAAAAUAUUUGUCCAUCAGUAAUUAGGUUAAUCUAGCUAUUUAAAAAGUUGAUUAAUCGUCGUUUGCUUCUUUGGAAUACGAAUAUUACUAAUUAAUUUGAUGGCUUCUUGCUGAAGUUAUGUCAAUACAAUAAGUUUUGUGAAAUCGACAUUGUUUUACUUUACCGACUGGAUAGAUUGUUCGAAAUUUUUCACUGCAGCUUCAUAUUUAACUUUUGGGUUUACAUUUUCAAUCUCGUCAAACAAAACGUAAAGAAACAUUGGUAUAGUAACUGUUUCAUUGGAGUUUUUUUUUCAUGUUUUGUUUUGUAUUCUGUUUUCACAACGAUUUUAUAUUAAUUUCCCCAUUUUUAAUGUCUUCAUGUUGUUCGUUAAACCAGGUACUGACAAAUCCCGUUGUUUGUUUCUUAAAGUACUCGAUUGUAAAAAUUUCCUUGUUCGUUAUAAGCGGUUUUUGUUAAAGAAAUAUUCGUUAUUUCGAAAUAUUGUAUUAUUGUAUUGUCAAAUAUGCUGUUUUAUGUUUCCAUUUAAUAGUAACAAUAUACAAUAUAUAUAGAUAGAGCAACUUGUGCAUAUUUAGCUAGUGAUAGUUAGCAGUUAAGCAACAAGCUUAAUGAUUUAAUAAUUUAAAACUUUCCUGCCGACAAAAAUGUGUUUUUUGAGAGGUCAAAAGGUAAACAAGAAACUCAUGAAAAUAUUUAUUUGACAUUAACGAUUAAAACUUAUUUUCCUAAGAAGAAGCACUCUUUCUAGUAAUAUAACCUUAUAUAACUGAAUCAUGGUCGUUUCUGAAAGACAUUAUAUUAUAUGAAAAGGAAAAUUUGUGGCAUUAAAAUUUGGUUUUCAUUUUGUGGCUAUUAUUUGGAAAUUUAUAAAUGAACACAUGAUAAUCGCAUUCAAAAACGUUAAUUGUCCUAAUUAAAUGCAAUGCAGUCAAAAAUAAUAGAAAUGGAGACUAUGACAAUUUCGUUUCUUAUUCAGUUCACGUUUGACAGAAAUUAUGUCAUAAAGGUUUAAUUAUGUCAAAAAAUGACGACACAUAAUUAAAUAUUUUUUUAUUAAUUUUAAAUUGAAUUUUGCAUUUAUUACGAUUGCUUUAAAUUAGUUAUUUAAAAUGCAUAUUUUACAGGUUUUCUUAAUGCCUAUCCUUAUUCUUCAAUUUAGAGGGAUUAUUAAAACCACAGGCUUAAACCUACUCCUAUAAGAUGUUUGAAAAUACUUUUAUUAAUGGAUUGUUAUGAAUAUAUAAAUAAAAUUUUCAUUUUAUUUCUAAUAACGAGGGGUUCUUUUUGACUUUCGUCAGAAAUCACCAAUUAUUUUUUUCGUUAAACGUUGUCGAGAAACAGUUAAACUAUGUCAAAAAAAACUUUGCAAGAGGAAUCUAAGAAAUGGUUGUAUUAUUAACUUUAUAGAUAACAAAAAAGAGUUGGUUGGUAUAACUAUAUUUUACUAAUUAAAGCUAUUUAUGGGUAAUAUCAUAUUAUUAUAAUUAAAAGUUAUAUGUUUUAAGAAUACAAUUAAAUAAUUCAAUUAAAAACGGAUAUUUAAGAAAUCAGAGACGAAAAGUUUCUAUUUUAACUCGAUAAGCCAUGAGUGAACUGUAUUAAUUCUUAACGAUUUCUGGGUAUAAUAAAUAUAUGUCCUUAUCCAAAUAUUCGUGAUUCUAGAAUAGUUUUCACUUAUACAUAUUUUCAUAAGUAAGUAUGUAUGUAAAUGUUAAAAAUGUUCAAGUUUUCCCAUAACUAAUGAUAUAUAAUUUUAAGAUCCAAGACUUAUUUAAAACAAAGUAAUGAGACUCAUAGUUCUCAAUAACAUAAACAAAAACUUUUAUGCUACAUUCCAAAAGACAAUAAAAGCUACUUAUUUAUAAACAAAGAAAAAUUGUUCACGUAAAAUAAACUUUAGUGAGUAAAAUUAACGGUUGUAAUAGAACAAAGCGAAAAUAUA